RNAcentral lists this transfer RNA (96 nucleotides) under Aquisphaera giovannonii. RNAcentral describes it as "tRNA-Asn". Lineage: Bacteria; Pseudomonadati; Planctomycetota; Planctomycetia; Isosphaerales; Isosphaeraceae. The record is from RNAcentral.
GGCCGUCCUGGUCGCGCGCGGCCUCGAGCCGGCGGACGUUGUCCGCCAGCGGCUCGUGGUUCGGGUCGUCGGCGUUCGGCUCGACGACGGCCACCA